CAAUGCCGCGUGUGUGAAGAAGGCCUUCGGGUUGUAAAGCACUUUCGAUGGGGAAAAACAAGUUCGACCUAAUACGUCGGACCCUGAUGGUACCCAGAGAAGAAGCACCGGCUAACUCUGUGCCAGCAGCCGCGGUAAUACAGAGGGUGCAAGCGUUAAUCGGAAUUACUGGGCGUAAAGCGUGCGUAGGUGGUUUGUUAAGUCAGGCGUGAAAUCCCUGGGCUCAACCUGGGAACUGCGCUUGAUACUGGCAGACUAGAGUGUGGUAGAGGGUAGUGGAAUUCCGCAUGUAGCAGUGAAAUGCGUAGAUAUGCGGAGGAACACCAGUGGCGAAGGCGGCUACCUGGACCAACACUGACACUGAGGCACGAAAGCGUGGGGAGCAAACAGGAUUAGAUACCCUGGUAGUCCACGCCCUAAACGAUGGGUACUAGACGUCGGGAAGUUUAUCUUCUUGGUGUCGCAGCUAACGCAAUAAGUACCCCGCCUGGGGAGUACGGUCGCAAGAUUA
RNAcentral lists this ribosomal RNA (511 nucleotides) under uncultured Pseudomonadota bacterium. Its description in RNAcentral is "bacterial SSU rRNA". It matches the Rfam family "Bacterial small subunit ribosomal RNA", at positions 392 to 896 of the family's 1533-position model. Lineage: Bacteria; Pseudomonadati; Pseudomonadota. The record is from RNAcentral.